RNAcentral lists this ribosomal RNA (447 nucleotides) under uncultured bacterium. RNAcentral describes it as "bacterial SSU rRNA". It matches the Rfam family "Bacterial small subunit ribosomal RNA", at positions 29 to 507 of the family's 1533-position model. The record is from RNAcentral.
AGCGAACGCUAGCGGCAGGCUUAACACAUGCAAGUCGAACGAAGUUCUUCGGAACUUAGUGGCGAACGGGUGAGUAACACGUAGGUAAUGUACCCUUUGGUGGAGGAUAACUCAGGGAAACCUGAGCUAAUACUGCAUAUGUCCUUCGGGAUAAAAGUCUUCGGACGCCUUAGGAGCAGCCUGCGGCCCAUUAUCUAAUCCUAGUUGGUAGGGUAACGGCCUACCAAGGGUACGAUGGGUAGCUGGUCUGAGAGGAUGAUCAGCCACACUGGGACUGAGACACGGCCCAGACUCCUACGGGAGGCAGCAGUGGGGAAUAUUGCGCAAUGGGGGAAACCCUGACGCAGCCAUGCCGCGUGUGUGAUGAAGGCCCUCGGGUCGUAAAGCACUGUCGGGAGGGACGAAGAUCUGACGGUACCUCGCAAGAAAGCACCGGCUAACUCCGUG